RNAcentral lists this ribosomal RNA (945 nucleotides) under uncultured archaeon. RNAcentral's name for it is "bacterial SSU rRNA". It matches the Rfam family "Archaeal small subunit ribosomal RNA", at positions 1 to 922 of the family's 1478-position model. The record is from RNAcentral.
UUCCGGUUGAUCCUGCCGGACCCGACUGCUAUCGGAGUGAGAUUAAGCCAUGCGAGUCUAAUGCCUCUAGACUGCUGGAGGCAUGGCAUACGGCUCAGUAGCACGUGGCCAACCUGCCCUUAAGACAUGAAUAACCCCGGGAAACUGGGACUAAAUCGUGAUAGGCGCGGAUCUCUGGAAUUGAAUCCGUGUUUAAAGGGGUGAAUGAGCAUGUUUUGUUCAUCUGCUUAAGGAUGGGGCUACGGCCGAUCAGGCUGUUGGCGGGGUAACGGCCCACCAAACCUUUGACAGGUACGGGCUUUGAGAGAAGGAGCCCGGAGAUGGACACUGAGAUAAGGGUCCAGGCCCUAUGGGGCGCAGCAGGCGCGAAACCUCCACAAUGAGCGAAAGCUUGAUGGGGUUACUCCGAGUGUUGUCCGCUAAGGAUGACUUUUCUUAAGUCUAAAUAGCUUGAGGAAUAAGGGGAGGGCAAGUCUGGUGUCAGCCGCCGCGGUAAUACCAGCUCCCCGAGUGGUCGGGACGGUUAUUUGGCCUAAAGCAUCCGUAGCCCGUCCUGCAAGUCUUCCGUUAAAUCUAACGGCUCAACCGUUAGGCUGCGAAAGAUACCGCAGGACUAGGGGACGGGAGAGGCGGACGGUACUCCGGGGGUAGGGGUAAAAUCCUCUGAUCCUCGGAAGACCACCAGCGGCGAAGGCGGUCCGCCAGAACGUGCCCGACGGUGAGGGAUGAAAGCUGGGGGAGCGAACCGGAUUAGAUACCCGGGUAGUCCCAGCCGUAAACGAUGCGAGCUAGGUGACAGAAUGGCCUAAGGGCCAUUCUGCUGCCGCAGGGAAGCCGUUAAGCUCGCCGCCUGGGGAGUACGGACGCAAGUCUGAAACUUAAAGGAAUUGGCGGGGGAGCACCACAAGGGGUGAAGCCUGCGGUUCAAUUGGAGUCAACGCCGGA